Brachypodium distachyon (stiff brome) is the source of this 116-nucleotide non-coding RNA. Lineage: Eukaryota; Viridiplantae; Streptophyta; Magnoliopsida; Poales; Poaceae. The record is from Rfam.
CAGGGUAUCCUUUGACCCUCCUUAGUUCAACCAAAUGAACUAAAGUUUUAAAAUGAUACAACUUUUUGAAAAACUAGUUCAUUUGUUUGAACUAAGGAGGGUCAAUGGGUACCCUG